RNAcentral lists this long non-coding RNA (395 nucleotides) under Elaeis guineensis (African oil palm). RNAcentral describes it as "long non-coding RNA (EGUI_LNC065698)". The record is from RNAcentral. Lineage: Eukaryota; Viridiplantae; Streptophyta; Magnoliopsida; Arecales; Arecaceae.
CUGCCAUUAUUAUUGAGGUUGCUAAUAAAAUCUUUGAUUGCUAUUUUGGAUCAAAAUAAAAGAUUCUAUUUAUAUCUAUUCAAGAUUUUGGGAUAUAUAUGAAAUUACAAUUCAAAAUUUUGGAUUUAGGAACUGACUUAGAGAAUUUGGUUUUGAAAGGUUUGUAUGAUUAUUAUGAAAAGUAUUUGAUAGAUGUUAAUGAUCUCGAUGGAAGAAACUCUAGAAAAGAUGAUUGAGUCGGUUCUACCUAUAUCUUUUGAUUAACGUCCUAACUUGGUGAAGCACCAUAAGAUUUUUAUUGUUGAUUUUACUUACAAAAUUUUGAUUUGAAUUAUCUAAAGGAAUUGAUAUGAGAAUUAAGAUUUGAUUUAUAUUGGAUUAUAAUAAACCUGUAU